AUUGAACGCUGGCGGCAUGCCUUACACAUGCAAGUCGAACGGCAGCGCGGGAGCAAUCCUGGCGGCGAGUGGCGAACGGGUGAGUAAUAUAUCGGAACGUGCCCAGUAGUGGGGGAUAGCCCGGCGAAAGCCGGAUUAAUACCGCAUGAGACCUGAGGGUGAAAGCGGGGGAUCGCAAGACCUCGCGCUAUUGGAGCGGCCGAUAUCAGAUUAGCUAGUUGGUGGGGUAAAGGCCUACCAAGGUAACGAUCUGUAGUUGGUCUGAGAGGACGACCAGCCACACUGGGACUGAGACACGGCCCAGACUCCUACGGGAGGCAGCAGUGGGGAAUUUUGGACAAUGGGCGCAAGCCUGAUCCAGCAAUGCCGCGUGCAGGAAGAAGGCC
This 386-nucleotide ribosomal RNA is filed under the name uncultured bacterium. RNAcentral's name for it is "bacterial SSU rRNA". It matches the Rfam family "Bacterial small subunit ribosomal RNA", at positions 29 to 416 of the family's 1533-position model. The record is from RNAcentral.